Molecule: ribosomal RNA, 253 nt
Filed under: uncultured bacterium
Lineage: Bacteria
Description: partial 16S ribosomal RNA
Rfam family: Bacterial small subunit ribosomal RNA
Source: RNAcentral
UACGUAGGGGGCAAGCGUUGUCCGGAUUUAUUGGGCGUAAAGAGCUCGUAGGCGGUUCCGUAAGUCGAGUGUGAAAAAUCUGGGCUCAACCCAGUGGAGCACUCGAUACUGCGGUGACUGGAGUACGGUAGAGGAGUGUGGAAUUCCUGGUGUAGCGGUGAAAUGCGCAGAUAUCGGGAAGAACACCCGUGGCGAAGGCGGCUCUCUGGGACGGUACUGACGCUGAGACGCGAAAGCGUGGGGAGCGAACAGG